Molecule: transfer RNA, 106 nt
Filed under: Ceratovacuna nekoashi
Lineage: Eukaryota; Metazoa; Arthropoda; Insecta; Hemiptera; Hormaphididae
Description: tRNA-Val
Source: RNAcentral
AUUUAGAAAGAAAGAAAUUUAAUAUAUAUAUAUAUAUAUAUUAAAUAAAUAUCUAAAUUUAAGUAUAUCAUUUACAAUGAUAAGAUGUUUUUUAACUUUAUUUAAA